GGCCUCCCAAAGUGCCGGGAUUACAGGCGUGAGCCACUGCAGCCAGCCUUGGAAGAAAUUUAAAUGCAUGUUACUAAGCAAGAGAAGCCAACCAAAAAUGCUACAUACUGUAUUACUUCAAAUAUGUGGCAUUCUGGAAAAGGCAAAACUUUUUGGAGACAGAAAAAGGAUCAGCGGUUGCCAGGGUUUAGAGGGAGGGCAGGAUGCAUAGGUGGCACACUGAGGAUAUUUAGGGCAGUGAAACUGUUCUGCAUGACACGGUAAUGGUGGAUGCAUUCCAUUAUACAUUUGUCAAGACCUAUAGAAGGUCUACCACCAAGAGUAAGCCCUACGUAGACUAUGGACUUUGGGUGAUAAUGACCUGUCAAUGUAGGAUUAGCAAUAGUAACAAAUGCACUGCUUUGGUGAAGGACACUGAUAAUGGAGGAGGCUGUGCACAUGUGGGAACAGGGUAUAUAUGUGGGGAAUCUCUGUAUCUUCCACUCAAUAUUGUUAUGAGUCUAAAACUGCUCUAAGAAACAGUCUAUUCUUUAAGAAAUAGGAGAAAAGAGGAGAAGAAAGAGGGGGCGGGGGAAACAGGGAGAUCUGUAGGCUCCUGCGGAAGGUCAUUGCAAAAUACUGGUGAUUCCAGGGAAGGUUGGAACAGCCUCUUUCUGAGAAAAAAUGAGUGUGGCAGAUGUCAGCAGAUACAAUCAUCCUCUGCCGCCUGCUGCUCUUCCUUUAUUCUUGGGUCUCUGAGCUUCUCUUUCUUGUCUGAACCCCUUUGCACACAAGGAUUAGCCAAUCAGAAUGCUUUCUCCCACUGGCAACAGUGAAGACUCCAUCCUGGAGAAUCAGAACCUUCUCUAGGAUUUUUGUUGAACUUUCAACUGUUGGUUGAAAUGGUUGCCGUGGAGAUGGUCUCAGCCUAGAGCGGCUGCUGUUCAGCUUUGGCCCCUGAAGGGAGAACACAUCUGAGGAUGAAGAAUGGUUGAGGCAUUUGUUCCUCUGGUUUUCUCUCUGCUCCAGUGCAGUAGGUUGGCCUUGCCCUUCUUCUGAAGCCCCCGUUUCCAUCGGGUGGCUGGUUUCAUGCAGCUGUGGCUCCUCACAGAUUCCCUCUCUCAGUUGCCAUAACUGCUACCCUCCUUGCUCCUACAGGCACUGGGGCAGAAGUGGUUCCUCCAUUAUUAGCAGCCCAGGGUUCUUUCAACCUGCCUACAUCUGGAAAAUACCUCCUUAUCAAACUCUUCAUCACCAGUGUCAGUUCAUGGAAGGAAUCCUUAUUGUCCCCAUCUUAAAGACCUCCGAAACGAAACCAGAGAUACUGAAUGAUUUGCCUGGGAUGACUCCGCUACCACUUGGCACAGCCACGGUGCAAACCCAGUUGGGCUGGCACUGAACACCCAGACUGUAGAUCCCUCCUGCCUGACUCAAGAGCCUCUGUCUAUAUGGAAGCAAUCAACUUAAGGUCACAAGAGGCCCAUUUCAGAAUGGGUUCUGUCCCACACUCUGGAGGAAGGAAUGCUGUAUGAGGAGGCCUAGAAGAAUCUGAACAGACAGGCUUUACUGGAGUUCCCCACUCGGCCCGUUAGUAUUAGACCAGAUCUUUUUGUCCAGUCACAUUUCUACGUGGUUGCCUAUCAAAGAAGUCUCUAUAAAAAGUCCAAGAGAACAGGGUUUGGGGAGCUUCCAGGAGGCAGGAAGGUGAACAAGAAUUCAUCCACAUGCCAGACAGCUGGUGCAUCCCAAAUCCAUGGAGACAGAAGCUCCUGCACUCAGACCCUUCCAGACCUCACCCUACAUGUUUCUUCAUCUGGCUGUGUAUUUGUAUCCUUUGAAAUAUCCUUUGUAAUAAACUGUUAAACAUAA
This 1848-nucleotide long non-coding RNA is filed under the name Homo sapiens (human). RNAcentral's name for it is "HSALNT0402211". The record is from RNAcentral. Lineage: Eukaryota; Metazoa; Chordata; Mammalia; Primates; Hominidae.